GCAUCAUUAAGAGGCAGUUGGCCUCUGGUACCUGCCGAGGAGCCUGAGUUCAGAAUUUAAUAGGCAGGUGUCGCUGGCUGGAUGACCUAUAGGAGCCAAGUGGAAACCAUCUUGGUACAGAAACACCAGGUGCGAAUAAUAAGUAGUUGGCGAGAUUACAACAGCCUAGAGGGACAUACCUGCUAAAGGGACCUGCCCAGAUACUCCCAUAUUAUGGCUGUGCAGGACGAGAGUGUACAAAAGUUGUCAGGACCUCCAGAGCUAUGUCGGGGUCACUUGCAGGAUGAUCGAAACAUUUUGUGGGAGUUCCCAUUGCGGCUCAGCAGGUUAAGAACCCAACUAGUAUCCAUGAGGAUACAGGUUUGAUCCCUGGACUCACUCAUGGGUUAUACUCCAAUUUAAUUAGAGUAUAGUUGAUUUACAAUGUUGUGCCCCAGUUGUUUUUCCCAGGGGCUUUACCUUCCAUAAAGUCCACCUUAGGUUUUUUGUUUUUUGUUUUUUGUUUUUUUGGCUGCCCCACUGUAUGUGGAGUUCUGGGGCCAGUUGCAGCAACACAGGAGCCUUAACCCACGGUGCCCAGCGGGGGAUUGAACCAAUGUCCCAGUGCUCCCAAGACACCUCCAAUCCUGUUGCACCACAGAGGGAACUCCUCUUCCUUAGUUCUUUUUUUUUUCUUUUCUUUAGAGGGCUGCACCCACGACAUAUGAAAGUUCCCAGGCUAGGGGUUGAAUCAGAGCUGCAGCUGCUGGCCCACACCAUAGCCACAGCAAUGCCAGAUCCAAGCCAUAUCUGAGACUUUCACUACAGCUCAUGGCAAUGCCGGAUCCUUAACCUACUGAGGGGUGCAACCCAUGUCCUCACAGAUCCUAGUUGGGUUUGUUACCACUGAGCCAUAAGUGCGUUCACGUGGUCUUAGGUUUCUGAGCCUCUAUGGUUGUCGAGGUGACAGGACCAAGAAUGUCUGAGAGUAGGCACUGUCCCUGGGGCACAGAGGCAGGUCUGAGAUUGGGCAAUGCUGCCCAGGUGCCCCACACUUGGCCUCCCAGACUAGAGACCACCAGGGUCUUGUCCCGCUCCUCUCCUGGCCUCGCUCUGCCCACAGAGUUCCAUGGUGGCCCAUCUGAGGGACAAGCCUCAGGAAAGUGCUCGUUUUCUGGGCCCUCACCACCCUCACCGUACCAGACACUAAAGACCCGAGUGCCAGGCACCUGAUGAAUGAUGAGGACAUUAAGACACUAGGAGGUUGAAUCCUGGUUCAAGAUUCCCACAGCUAGGCCUUCCCAUUGUGGCUUAGCAGGUUAAGGACAGGAUGUUGUCUCUGUGAGGGUGCAGGUUCCAUCCCUGGCCUCGCCCAGUGGGUUAAGGAUCCUACAUUGCCUCAAGCUGCCCCAAAGGUCAGGUCGCAUAUGCAGCUGGGAUCCUGUAUUGCCAUGGCUGUGGCAUAGAUUAGACCACAGCUGCAGCUUGCACUGGACCCUUAGUCUGGGAACUUCCAUGUGCUGCAGGUGCAGUGGUGAAAAGGAGAAAAAAAAAAAA
This 1536-nucleotide long non-coding RNA is filed under the name Sus scrofa (pig). RNAcentral's name for it is "lncRNA (ENSSSCG00005021424.1)". Lineage: Eukaryota; Metazoa; Chordata; Mammalia; Artiodactyla; Suidae. The record is from RNAcentral.